CAAGAAUAUCGAAAACUUUUGAAAAUAAGGUAUUUAGCUAGAGUUACAACCACUUGAGAUGUUAAGCAUAUGAGAGAGAAUAACCAAGAGUUCCAACUUCACACAAACAAGAUAAACUGAAAUAGAAACUAAAUGGCGGAUGCAGACUUAAUUAACACACUAAACUAUCAUGCAAGACUCCAACUAAGAAAAGUGAAACUCAAAACUAAUACUAAGAAUAAAAUAAAAGAAAGAGUUUAGAACUCCCUCAAUCUGAUCCAUU
RNAcentral lists this long non-coding RNA (262 nucleotides) under Lotus japonicus. RNAcentral's name for it is "long non-coding RNA (LJAP_LNC000548)". The record is from RNAcentral. Lineage: Eukaryota; Viridiplantae; Streptophyta; Magnoliopsida; Fabales; Fabaceae.